Molecule: ribosomal RNA, 503 nt
Filed under: uncultured Sphingobacteriales bacterium
Lineage: Bacteria; Pseudomonadati; Bacteroidota; Sphingobacteriia; Sphingobacteriales
Description: bacterial SSU rRNA
Rfam family: Bacterial small subunit ribosomal RNA
Source: RNAcentral
CGCCUUGCCAGCCCGCUCAGAAACUUAAAUAAAUUGACGGGGCCCGCACAAGCGGAGGAGCAUGUGGUUUAAUUCGAUGAUACGCGAGGAACCUUACCUGGGCUCGAACGUAAGAUGACUGUAGGUGAAAGCUUACAUCUCUUCGGAGCAUUUUACGAGGUGCUGCAUGGUUGUCGUCAGCUCGUGCCGUGAGGUGUCGGGUUAAGUCCCAUAACGAGCGCAACCCCUACCUUUAGUUGCCAUCAGGUUAAGCUGGGGACUCUAAAGGAACUGCCUACGCAAGUAGUGAGGAAGCGGGGAUGACGUCAAAUCAGCACGGCCCUUACGUCCAGGGCUACACACGUGCUACAAUGGUCGAUACAGAGGGCAGCUACCUGGUGACAGGAUGCAAAUCUCCAAAGUCGGUCUCAGUUCGGAUCGGAGUCUGCAACCCGACUCCGUGAAGUUGGAUUCGCUAGUAAUCGCGCAUCAGCCAUGGCGCGGUGAAUACGUUCCCGGGCCUU